Molecule: long non-coding RNA, 662 nt
Filed under: Hordeum vulgare
Lineage: Eukaryota; Viridiplantae; Streptophyta; Magnoliopsida; Poales; Poaceae
Description: long non-coding RNA (HVUL_LNC000746)
Source: RNAcentral
UUCUCGACGAGAACCAAACUAAGUCAUGGUUUUCCCUUUGAGCGAAAUUAGCUAGGCUAUCACUAACCUUUUUUUUCGGGAAAGCCAUUUGACGUAGUUCAUUGAUUCUCAAACACAGUUACAUCAUUUAUUAGCUUAGCAAACAAAUAGCUAGGAGGAUCAUCGUCCCAAAUACAAUUGAUAUGAUCACUAAAACUAUGCCUAGAUAGUAAAUGAGCAACCUCAUUGGCCUCCCGAUUACAAUGUUCAAAGGUGAUCUCUCUAAAACCAGUUGUAAAAAGUCUACAAUCAUCAUAUAUAAAUUGACCUGUGAGACAUCUAAUCUACACAAAACCAUGGAUUGGCUAAUCCUCACCUGGCUGACAAUUUUGCAAAGCUACAUCGAUACAAAAGUGAAACUUUAGUUACAUAAAAAGUGAUUUCGUAUUCGAUUGUGUCUUAAAAAUUCUCAGGCCACGGCCACCUUAGAACUGAACACCGUCGGCUCGUGGAUUAUGACCUGCGGCAUUACUGGCACCAAAAAUACUGCGGCAUUAUUGGCACCAAAAAUACUGGAGCAGCGUGGCACAUCGGAUUACUCUGUUCUGCCGGCCAGAACGUCGCCUCGUGGCACAUCGGAUUACUCUGCUCUACGGGCCGGAACGCCGCCGCGUGGGGUGGUG